This 333-nucleotide ribosomal RNA is filed under the name Penicillium polonicum. RNAcentral describes it as "eukaryotic LSU rRNA". The stretch from base 1 to 114 matches the Rfam family "5.8S ribosomal RNA", at positions 40 to 154 of the family's 154-position model. Lineage: Eukaryota; Fungi; Ascomycota; Eurotiomycetes; Eurotiales; Aspergillaceae. The record is from RNAcentral.
AGAACGCAGCGAAAUGCGAUACGUAAUGUGAAUUGCAAAUUCAGUGAAUCAUCGAGUCUUUGAACGCACAUUGCGCCCCCUGGUAUUCCGGGGGGCAUGCCUGUCCGAGCGUCAUUGCUGCCCUCAAGCCCGGCUUGUGUGUUGGGCCCCGUCCUCCGAUUCCGGGGGACGGGCCCGAAAGGCAGCGGCGGCACCGCGUCCGGUCCUCGAGCGUAUGGGGCUUUGUCACCCGCUCUGUAGGCCCGGCCGGCGCUUGCCGAUCAACCCAAAUUUUUAUCCAGGUUGACCUCGGAUCAGGUAGGGAUACCCGCUGAACUUAAGCAUAUCAAUAAG